Molecule: ribosomal RNA, 561 nt
Filed under: Enterococcus faecium
Lineage: Bacteria; Bacillati; Bacillota; Bacilli; Lactobacillales; Enterococcaceae
Description: bacterial SSU rRNA
Rfam family: Bacterial small subunit ribosomal RNA
Source: RNAcentral
UUCCACCGGAGCUUGCUCCACCGGAAAAAGAGGAGUGGCGAACGGGUGAGUAACACGUGGGUAACCUGCCCAUCAGAAGGGGAUAACACUUGGAAACAGGUGCUAAUACCGUAUAACAAUCAAAACCGCAUGGUUUUGAUUUGAAAGGCGCUUUCGGGUGUCGCUGAUGGAUGGACCCGCGGUGCAUUAGCUAGUUGGUGAGGUAACGGCUCACCAAGGCCACGAUGCAUAGCCGACCUGAGAGGGUGAUCGGCCACAUUGGGACUGAGACACGGCCCAAACUCCUACGGGAGGCAGCAGUAGGGAAUCUUCGGCAAUGGACGAAAGUCUGACCGAGCAACGCCGCGUGAGUGAAGAAGGUUUUCGGAUCGUAAAACUCUGUUGUUAGAGAAGAACAAGGAUGAGAGUAACUGUUCAUCCCUUGACGGUAUCUAACCAGAAAGCCACGGCUAACUACGUGCCAGCAGCCGCGGUAAUACGUAGGUGGCAAGCGUUGUCCGGAUUUAUUGGGCGUAAAGCGAGCGCAGGCGGUUUCUUAAGUCUGAUGUGAAAGCCCCCGGC